This 569-nucleotide ribosomal RNA is filed under the name uncultured bacterium. RNAcentral describes it as "partial 16S ribosomal RNA". It matches the Rfam family "Bacterial small subunit ribosomal RNA", at positions 355 to 914 of the family's 1533-position model. The record is from RNAcentral.
UGGGGAAUAUUGCACAAUGGGCGCAAGCCUGAUGCAGCCAUGCCGCGUGUGUGAAGAAGGCCUUCGGGUUGUAAAGCACUUUCAGCGAGGAGGAAGGUGGUGAACUUAAUACGUUCAUCAAUUGACGUUACUCGCAGAAGAAGCACCGGCUAACUCCGUGCCAGCAGCCGCGGUAAUACGGAGGGUGCAAGCGUUAAUCGGAAUUACUGGGCGUAGAGCGCACGCAGGCGGUUUGUUAAGUCAGAUGUGAAAUCCCCGGGCUCAACCUGGGAACUGCAUUUGAAACUGGCAAGCUAGAGUCUCGUAGAGGGGGGUAGAAUUCCAGGUGUAGCGGUGAAAUGCGUAGAGAUCUGGAGGAAUACCGGUGGCGAAGGCGGCCCCCUGGACGAAGACUGACGCUCAGGUGCGAAAGCGUGGGGAGCAAACAGGAUUAGAUACCCCCGGUAGUCCACGCUGUAAACGAUGUCGAUUUUGGAGGUUGUGCCCUUGAGGCGUGGCUUCCGGAGCUAACGCGUUAAAUCGACCGCCUGGGGAGUACGGCCGCAAGGUUAAAACUCAAAGGAAUUGAC